CGAACGAACUCUGGUAUUGAUUGGUGCUUGCAUYWUGAUUUACAUUUGAGUGAGUGGCGAACUGGUGAGUAACACGUGGGAAACCUGCCCRGAAGCGGGGGAUAACACCUGGAAACAGAUGCUAAUACCGCAUAACAACUUGGACCGCAUGGUCSRRGYUUGAAAGAUGGCUUCGGCUAUCACUUYUGGAUGGUCCCGCGGCGUAUUAGCUAGAUGGUGAGGUAACGGCUCACCAUGGCAAUGAUACGUAGCCGACCUGAGAGGGUAAUCGGCCACAUUGGGACUGAGACACGGCCCAAACUCCUACGGGAGGCAGCAGUAGGGAAUCUUCCACAAUGGACGAAAGUCUGAUGGAGCAACSCCGCGUGAGUGAAGAAGGGUUUCGGCUCGUAAAACUCUGUUGUUAAAGAAGAACAUAUCUGAGAGUAACUGUUCAGGUAUUGACGGUAUUUAACCAGAAAGCCACGGCUAACUACGUGCCAGCMGCCGCGGUAAU
This 496-nucleotide ribosomal RNA is filed under the name Lactiplantibacillus plantarum. RNAcentral describes it as "Lactobacillus plantarum partial 16S ribosomal RNA". It matches the Rfam family "Bacterial small subunit ribosomal RNA", at positions 63 to 524 of the family's 1533-position model. Lineage: Bacteria; Bacillati; Bacillota; Bacilli; Lactobacillales; Lactobacillaceae. The record is from RNAcentral.